This is a ribosomal RNA of 954 nucleotides. It matches the Rfam family "Bacterial large subunit ribosomal RNA", at positions 1 to 1058 of the family's 2925-position model.
UAAGGACAAACAAUUAAUUUAGGAUGAAAGACUAGGAUUUCUAAAAAAUAUUUGAUUGGAGUAAUUACAUUGAAAAUCAUGUUGAAGACUUAUAAAGUCUUGGGGGGGAAUCCUACGGAUUCCCCCCCUUUAUCUACCCUUACCUGCCAAAAGGGGAAAAUAAAAAACGGGGCCCGAAAGCGGGGGGAGUCCGUAGGAUUCCCCCCCUCGUCCGGCCCCCCUUUUUAGCGUGGGGGAGAAAAAAACUGGAAACUGAAUCAUCUUAGUACCAGAAUAAAAAAUCAACCGAGAUCCCAAAAGUAGUGAGAACGAAAAUGGGGGAAUCUAUCGAACAAAGAGGGUAAGUAUAAUACAGUCCCGUAGAUAGAGCAUUUUGUAAAAUGGAGUGGGCCCGGGCCCGCCAUAAAAAGAUAUGGCGGGAUCCGUUGGGUCUCCAAUAAAAUAGGCGGCAUUAUCGCCGGGGCCCCGCCCUCUCUAAUCCAAAGGAUGGAAAUACCGAUAGUGAAAUAGUACUGUGAAGGAAAGUUGAAAGAGAGUUGAAAUAGAACCGGAAAUCCUAAAAAAAAAGCAGUAGGUUUAUAGAGCCUGCGUACCUUUUGCAUAAGUGGUUCGCAAGUUUUUAAUUUGGCAAACUUGAACCGUAAGGUUGAGGUGUUACGAAAGUGAAAAAAGUCAAAUGAACCCGAAACCAAGUGAUCUACCCCUGAUCUGGCGUGGGCGAAGGGUCCAAAAGGGCUCCGUGCCGCGGCCUAACCGGUGGAUGUGGCAAAAUCCUCGGAUGAAUUGGGGGUAGUGGUGAUACGCCAAUCGCACUUGGAAAUAGCUGGUUUUCUGCGAAAACUAUCUAAGUAGUGCCGACACUCCCGUUUUUUUGUCGAGUCAGACAUAGGACGAUAAGGCCCUAUGUCUAAUGGGAAACAACCCGAAUCAUUAGUUAAGGACAUUAAUAAACAG